This 434-nucleotide long non-coding RNA is filed under the name Fukomys damarensis (Damara mole-rat). RNAcentral describes it as "lncRNA (ENSFDAG00000024674.1)". Lineage: Eukaryota; Metazoa; Chordata; Mammalia; Rodentia; Bathyergidae. The record is from RNAcentral.
UUGCUUUCAUAACUAUGAGUUUUGUGGUCGGUAACUUGUACAAUUCUCAUUUUCUUCUCCUCAGAUCAAUGUUGGCUGUGAAAACUAUGACGCAAGUUAUCACCAGAGAGGGCCAGAUCGGGUAAGGAUGCCUUUCCAAAUUCUCUGUCUCUGGAGAUUGCCGUUACCUGAUUGGUGUGCCUUCCUCCAGAGAGGACAAGACCAGCCCGCUCCUCCUGAAAAGCAAGGGUGUGAACGGAUCAACGCUGAAGCUGAAGCGCCCUUAAGCAAAUGGGAAUUGUAUGACUUCUCAGCAAUAUGUGCUUGAAAGUUGUUCUACUUGGCAGAAGAAAGGAUUUGAUGAAGUAAUUUCUUGUUAAAGGAAAGGAACUGAUAGAGUAAUUUCUUCAAAAUUCUUCAAUUGAGGAGAGUUCAUAAUACACUGCCUCAGAGAA